This 796-nucleotide ribosomal RNA is filed under the name uncultured bacterium. RNAcentral's name for it is "bacterial SSU rRNA". It matches the Rfam family "Bacterial small subunit ribosomal RNA", at positions 8 to 796 of the family's 1533-position model. The record is from RNAcentral.
AGAGUUUGAUCAUGGCUCAGAACGAACGCUGGCGGCGUGUCUUAAGCAUGCAAGUCGUGCGGCAAGGGCAGCAAUGCCCCUAGAGCGGCGGACUGGUGAGUAACGCGUGGGUGAUCUGCCCUUGGGUUGGGGAUAGCCAUUAGAAAUAGUGGGUAAUACCGAAUACGUUCGUCCGACCUUGGUUGGACGAGGAAAGGCGCUUCGGCGCCGCCCGAGGAUGAGCCCGCGUCCCAUUAGCUUGUUGGUGAGGUAACGGCCCACCAAGGCGAUGAUGGGUAGGCGGCCUGAGAGGGUGUACGCCCACACUGGGACUGAGAUACGGCCCAGACUCCUACGGGAGGCAGCAGCUAAGAAUAUUCCGCAAUGGACGAAAGUCUGACGGAGCGACGCCGCGUGGAUGACGAAGGCCGAAAGGUUGUAAAAUCCUUUUGUUGGGGAAGAAUAAGCGCGGGAGGGAAUGCCCGCGUGAUGACAUGAACCGACGAAUAAGCCCCGGCUAACUACGUGCCAGCAGCCGCGGUAACACGUAGGGGGCGAGCGUUGUUCGGAAUUACUGGGCGUAAAGGGCAUGUAGGCGGCCUUGUAAGCCUGGCGUGAAAGUCACCGGCUCAACCGGUGGAUUGCGUCGGGAACUGCAGGGCUUGAGUCACGGAGGGGAAGGUAGAAUUCCUGGUGUAGGGGUGAAAUCUGUAGAGAUCAGGAAGAAUACCAGUGGCGAAGGCGACCUUCUGGCCGAUGACUGACGCUGAGGUGCGAAAGUGUGGGGAUCAAACAGGAUUAGAUACCCUGGUAGUCC